RNAcentral lists this ribosomal RNA (253 nucleotides) under uncultured bacterium. Its description in RNAcentral is "partial 16S ribosomal RNA". It matches the Rfam family "Bacterial small subunit ribosomal RNA", at positions 524 to 776 of the family's 1533-position model. The record is from RNAcentral.
UACGGGGGGGGCGAGCGUUGUUCGGAAUUAUUGGGCGUAAAGGGAGCGUAGGCGGUGCGAUAAGUCGGGUGUGAAACCUCCAGGCUCAACUUGGAGCUGGCAUCCGAAACUGCCGUGCUAGAGUGUGGGAGGGGAGAGUGGAAUUCCCGGUGUAGCGGUGGAAUGCGUAGAGAUCCGGAGGAACACCAGCGGCGAAGGUGGCGUCCUGGACUGGUACUGACGCUCAGGAGCGAAAGCGUGGGGAGCGAUCCGG